GACGAACGCUGGCGGCGUGCUUAACACAUGCAAGUCGAACGGAAAGGCCCUGCUUUUGUGGGGUGCUCGAGUGGCGAACGGGUGAGUAACACGUGAGUAACCUGCCCUUGACUUUGGGAUAACUUCAGGAAACUGGGGCUAAUACCGGAUAGGAGCUCCUGCUGCAUGGUGGGGGUGGGAAAGUUUCGGCGGUUGGGGAUGGACUCGCGGCUUAUCAGCUUGUUGGUGGGGUAGUGGCUUACCAAGGCUUUGACGGGUAGCCGGCCUGAGAGGGUGACCGGCCCCCUUGGGACUGAGGUACGGCCCGGACUCCUACGGGAGGCAGCACUGGGGAAUACUGCACAAUGGGCGGAAGCCUGAUGCAGCACCGCCGCGUGCGGGAUGACGGCCUUCGGGUUGUAACCCGCUUUCGCCUGUGACGAAGCGUGAGUGACGGUAAUGGGUAAAGAAGCACCGGCUAACUACGUG
RNAcentral lists this ribosomal RNA (468 nucleotides) under uncultured bacterium. RNAcentral's name for it is "partial 16S ribosomal RNA". It matches the Rfam family "Bacterial small subunit ribosomal RNA", at positions 28 to 507 of the family's 1533-position model. The record is from RNAcentral.